CAACGAAAACUGCUGAGAGAUCAGUUUCUCUCUUUUCUUCUUGAGAGAAGUUUAAAACCCAUCUUAAUUCAUCAAAUGAUGACCAGAUUGAAGAACCAUAGACUGUUCUACUAUUUUCAAUGAUACGAAUGGUAGGCGAUUUGUACAAAUAAUGACCAUAUCGAAGAACCACCAACGCUGAUGGCAGAUUGCUAAAGAAGACGAUCCAAUCCGUGGUUGUAGGCACAAAAUCUGAAGUUUGUCACAUAGACAACAGGUCCUUUGUUCUCUUUUUUCAGAUUUACUUAUCUUCUUUUUUAUUUAUUGGCGAAAUUUAGUAUAUCCAAAUCAAUUUGGUGGACGAAAUUUGGUAAACCAUUUUGACUUUUUGCCAAAAAAAAAUUGAGUUAAAUGAUAAUACAAAGCUUUUUAAUGAUUGAACGAUUCAACAUAAAAAAUGAUAGGAUACGAAUGAAGGAAGGUGUUAAGCAGAGAAUCAAGGUGUUCCUCCUCGAACAUCACUUCACAAUCUAUUCGUUUGCGUGUGCUGGCAUUAAUUGUAGAAAAAGCAAUAUCUAUUGUUACAUAUGUUUUGAUAAAUAUUAUUUCAUUGAUAUAGCUAAGUGAUCGGGAAAUUUUUACAAAGUACUCAGUAUUUUCUUAUUGAAUGAUGCUCUUCAUCCGAUUUUAUGUGUUAUCUACCGUGUAUAAAAUGCUCAACGGAUUUUUUACCAUUCAGUGAUCAUAUAUUUGUUGAUUUGAUCCUCACCUGAAUCAGAAAGUUGCUAAACGCAAGUUAGUGGCCUCGAGAAUUCUCCUGGACAAAGAAAAAAUGGCCUUUGAAUUGCUACUAGGUAGGCAUUGCAUUUGCUUCAGCAUAUAUCCUGAGUAGCAGCUAAGCAGGUACUUUUUCAGUACACAUACUCAUAUAUUGGUGGUUAUAGAUAGAUUUGGAGCAUUCCUACUAUGGUAAUUCCAUUGACUAACUGUGACUCUUUAAUUUGCUACAUAAAUUAUGCAAACUUUGUUGGUUUUUAGCAUUUUCAUUUUUGACUUGUGGCAUAUAUGAUUUAUAUACAAGAUUUAGUACAUGUGUGACAAGAGGGAUACAUUUAAGUAAUGAUUAACUGCUACUUAUAGUCUCAUCUGCCUUACCUUGAAGUUUGAUGAAUAAUGGAAUCGGACUUUCUAUUUCAAUAUGCACAUAAAUUUAAACUUAUGUAUAUAAAUAAAGCAUAUGAUAUUGUUUCUCUAAUCAACUUGAUGAGCAAGAAAUAUAUUAUUUUUUAAACUCCGAUUAUUAUUGAUCUUGAAACUUUAUGUGUCCUCCUUUCUUGCAUCUUAAUUGGCUCAAUCAUUCACCAAACUUUACCUCUAAGAAUAUAUUUGAACUCUUUUGGAUACUAACUAGAAAAAACAUGAGAUAUAAGUUUACCUUUGUUGUAUGCUUUCGACUUUUUAAUAUAUUUAUCGUAUAUUAAUUUAUCUAUUUAUGGUAAUAAUGAAUUGACAGGUUCAACUUCUUAAAUUAAUACAGGAGCGAUAUGUUACACUAACAUUGCGAAUGCAAGAAGAGACUCAUGUGAAAGUCGUGUAAACAAGGUCGAGCAACGGAAUCUUGAGGGAACAAAUCCUUAACAAAUGGUUAUCGCCAUGCCAAACAGUACAACAUUAGAAGUGCAAAGCAAGGUUGAUGUUGGAGGUUACAUUGCUUCGGCUCAGCCAACCGGUGCCGAUGAUAUCCGAGCACUUUUAAUUGGAGAUCUGCAAUUUUGGAUGAAUGAAUAAUAUCUCUAUAUAUAGCUGAUUUGCAAAUAUUGGAAAUGUACUAAAGUUUCUGAAAUAAAUUGUUGUUGCUGAGUGUUUUAAUA
Long non-coding RNA from Nicotiana tabacum (common tobacco), 1850 nucleotides. RefSeq lists it as uncharacterized. Lineage: Eukaryota; Viridiplantae; Streptophyta; Magnoliopsida; Solanales; Solanaceae. The record is from RefSeq and is a predicted model, not a curated record.